RNAcentral lists this ribosomal RNA (1005 nucleotides) under Triticum aestivum (bread wheat). Its description in RNAcentral is "partial small subunit ribosomal RNA". The record is from RNAcentral. Lineage: Eukaryota; Viridiplantae; Streptophyta; Magnoliopsida; Poales; Poaceae.
AUGGGCGCGCGCCAGAGAGCCUCCGCUGCUCUCCCCACACCUAUAAAUAUAGGCAUUUCUAGGCGUACAAGGAUGCCCCUUAUCUCGGAGGUUGGACUGCUCAUUCUCUCUUGUUCUGCUGCUGCUACACACAUAUACUGCUACAAGAAAAAUUUCACACACACAUACAUCUUGAAUUUUUUUUCUCCAAGUGACAUGAUUUUUGAUCUUGGCUUGGUCAUAUUGACACAUCCCAAGUGGCCUUCAUCCUCCACAAAGUUGGCAUUCUACUCUUGGCAUGGUCAUAUUGACACAUGUCAAUUUUUUCUUGCCAUGGUCAUGUUGGCACAUGUCAAGAAAUACAAGUUGCAUGAUGAGUUCCUCUGGUUUGGUCAUAUUGACACAAAUCAUGUCAACAAAAUCACGGCAAAGAAAGUAAAGAAAAUAAAUCAAAGUCUAUAUAUUGGUGAAUCAACAAGGAAAAGUAUGGAGGUACAGGUCCAGCAAUUUGUCACUCUCCGCUUUGGUGACCUCUGGCUGGAUGUGCCAAUUGGUCUUCUUGUGGCUGCAGUUAACAAGAGUUUGGAAACAACAGCUGCAUCCCCAGCUAAGCCAGAAGAAAAGGAAGUCUCCUCUGCACUGAAGGAGGGGUUUACUCCUGUGCUCACAAAGUCAGCAAAGAGAAGGAUGCGCGCAGCUGCAAGAGCAUCUAAGGAUCAGCAUGUACGCGAAGCUUCUUCAUCUACUUCAGUUCCUCCUGGUUUCACAAAGAUGUCACCUACCAAGGUCAUGAGCCAUGAGGUACCAGCAAAGGUUGUUCGCAUGACACCCGAAGAGUGGCCCGUUCUUGCAAAACAGACAGGAUCACUAAAGGUGGCAUCGCCAAGACAAUCUGCUUCAACUACAUCGACCAAAGUCGCAGUGCCCCUUACACCUUCAAAACUUAGGGUGGGUGCACACGAAGGGUCAGGAGAAAGCUCACAUAAGCUUAUCCCAAGCAACGUAGGGGCAGCACAAAGGGCUUGA